UUGGAGUUCAAAAAUUUCGUCUAAAAAAUGAUUCAACAUCUCCAAAAUAUAGGCCUAAUAGUUUUCGUUCAGUCAAUAAUUAAUAAACGAGAAAACUUUGAGAGUGUGAGAAGAUAUAUGCUUUCAAUAGAUCCAGAUUGCUGAUGAAGGGUUAAUCUUGGCUGUUCGACAAUGCAACACGAUCCGUCGAAAAAUUCCUGUAGGGUCUGACGAAUUCUCCCCGUUGUUUUCGAUCCGAUCUAAUCAGAUGGUAAUAGCACCUGCGAAGCAAAGAGUCCAACCACCUGGACUCGAUCUACCGCGUGCGAUGAUUAAUAAUUGCUGUCUGGCGAAGAUAUGGAAUCGCGUGCGCCUAAUUCGUAGGCGGGAGUUUUUGAGUUAUUGGCCUUUGUGCUCUUUGUCCAUCGGAAUGGGGACACUCGAUCAAACGUGGUAAUACAAACGGAGAUCGUUCCGUUCGCCGUGCUUGAAAACGCGGGUACGGCGUGAAGUGGAAAAAUGAGGCAGUUUCUCUUUACUGAUGUCAAGAAAGGGGAACGCGAGGAGGACGAAAGAAAAAUCGGGGACACGAGAGCAAGAAGUUGGACAUUGCCGACAGGAAAAUCCACUAGGCAUAGGUUGGCGAAUUGGGAAAACAUGUCACCCCAUAAGCCCAAUCUUAUUUCACUCGUACGUUCUGUCUCGGUCGGGAGCAGCCGCGCCUGUAAACAUCCGACAGAGACAAAGGAGGAACUAAAACGUGCCGGAACGAUUCCGUUUUAACGGUGAAUUUAUAGCGGCGCGUGAUUUUCGCCCCGAGAAGAUUUCCACGGCCCAUCUUUCCUUUUUCUUCCCUCGAAUCCGCUGUUCCGCAACCGUGAAAAUACUUCUUCCCUUCGAUAACGCGGAAACGAGAAUCGAAACGAGAUAGGCGAGAUCGCGAUGGGAUU
Apis dorsata (giant honeybee) is the source of this 929-nucleotide long non-coding RNA. RefSeq lists it as uncharacterized. The record is from RefSeq and is a predicted model, not a curated record. The transcript is spliced from 3 exons. NCBI's taxonomy places the organism in Eukaryota, Metazoa, Arthropoda, Insecta, Hymenoptera, Apidae.